GGCUUUAUAGUCAAUAAUGAUUUUGAAUUGCAAAUUCAAAGGUGAGUUUCAUCUCUCUAAGGCUU
This 65-nucleotide transfer RNA is filed under the name Acmaeodera sp. NCS-2009. Its description in RNAcentral is "tRNA-Cys". Lineage: Eukaryota; Metazoa; Arthropoda; Insecta; Coleoptera; Buprestidae. The record is from RNAcentral.